AGAUGGGCAAUGAAAGGGAAAAGUAUUAUAGACUACAGUUUUCAGGGAGGGAGUGUCACCGAUUGUAAGCAUUCCUAAAUAUGACUAUAAGAAAAACUACCCUGGAGCUAUGGCUUAUUAGCAAAAUUUUGUGAAAUGCCAUCGGUGAAAAUCGUUAAAAAUUAUAGAGAUGAAUUGAGUUAUUAUAAAUUCAAUUUGGGUGGAACCACGGAUAUUAUGCAUUCGUCCCAAGG
Molecule: non-coding RNA, 233 nt
Filed under: Clostridium chromiireducens
Lineage: Bacteria; Bacillati; Bacillota; Clostridia; Eubacteriales; Clostridiaceae
Description: T-box sequence
Rfam family: T-box leader
About the family: Uncharged tRNA acts as the effector for transcription antitermination of genes in the T-box leader family. T-boxes are found upstream of many aminoacyl-tRNA synthetase genes and some amino acid biosynthetic genes usually in Gram-positive bacteria. The anticodon of a specific tRNA base pairs to a specifier sequence within the T-box motif, and the NCCA acceptor tail of the tRNA base pairs to a conserved bulge in the T-box antiterminator hairpin.
Source: RNAcentral